GUGGAGGGUACUAGUGCCUGUGUUCUGGUGGAUGAGGCUGGAUCUUGUCUUUCUGGUGGGCAGGUCCACAUCUGGUGGUGUGUUUUGGGGUGUCUGUGGCCUUAUUAUGAUUUUAGGUAGCCUCUCUGCUAAUGGGUGGGGUUGUGUUCCUGUCUUUCUAGUUGUUUGGCAUAGGGUGUCCAGCACUGUAGCUUGCUGGUCGUUGAGUGAAGCUGGGUGUUGGUGUUGAGAUGGAGAUCUCUGAGAGAUUUUUGCUGUUUGAUAUUACGUGGUACUGGGAGGUCUCUUGUGGACCAGUGUCCUGAAGUUGGCUCUCCCACCUCUGAGUCACAGCACUGACUCCUGGCUGGAGCACCAAGAGCCUUUCAUCCACACGGCUCAGAAUAAAAGGGAGAAAAAGUAGAAAGAAAGAAAGAGAGAAAGAAAGAGGAUAAAAGAAAAUAAAAUAAAGUAAGGUAAAAUAAAAUAAAGUUAUUAAAAUAAAAAAAUAA
Long non-coding RNA from Orcinus orca (killer whale), 491 nucleotides. RefSeq lists it as uncharacterized. The record is from RefSeq and is a predicted model, not a curated record. Lineage: Eukaryota; Metazoa; Chordata; Mammalia; Artiodactyla; Delphinidae. The transcript is spliced from 2 exons.